RNAcentral lists this ribosomal RNA (1004 nucleotides) under Limosilactobacillus fermentum. Its description in RNAcentral is "bacterial SSU rRNA". It matches the Rfam family "Bacterial small subunit ribosomal RNA", at positions 471 to 1470 of the family's 1533-position model. The record is from RNAcentral. Lineage: Bacteria; Bacillati; Bacillota; Bacilli; Lactobacillales; Lactobacillaceae.
GACGGUAUUUAACCAGAAAGUCACGGCUAACUACGUGCCAGCAGCCGCGGUAAUACGUAGGUGGCAAGCGUUAUCCGGAUUUAUUGGGCGUAAAGAGAGUGCAGGCGGUUUUCUAAGUCUGAUGUGAAAGCCUUCGGCUUAACCGGAGAAGUGCAUCGGAAACUGGAUAACUUGAGUGCAGAAGAGGGUAGUGGAACUCCAUGUGUAGCGGUGGAAUGCGUAGAUAUAUGGAAGAACACCAGUGGCGAAGGCGGCUACCUGGUCUGCAACUGACGCUGAGACUCGAAAGCAUGGGUAGCGAACAGGAUUAGAUACCCUGGUAGUCCAUGCCGUAAACGAUGAGUGCUAGGUGUUGGAGGGUUUCCGCCCUUCAGUGCCGGAGCUAACGCAUUAAGCACUCCGCCUGGGGAGUACGACCGCAAGGUUGAAACUCAAAGGAAUUGACGGGGGCCCGCACAAGCGGUGGAGCAUGUGGUUUAAUUCGAAGCUACGCGAAGAACCUUACCAGGUCUUGACAUCUUGCGCCAACCCUAGAGAUAGGGCGUUUCCUUCGGGAACGCAAUGACAGGUGGUGCAUGGUCGUCGUCAGCUCGUGUCGUGAGAUGUUGGGUUAAGUCCCGCAACGAGCGCAACCCUUGUUACUAGUUGCCAGCAUUAAGUUGGGCACUCUAGUGAGACUGCCGGUGACAAACCGGAGGAAGGUGGGGACGACGUCAGAUCAUCAUGCCCCUUAUGACCUGGGCUACACACGUGCUACAAUGGACGGUACAACGAGUCGCGAACUCGCGAGGGCAAGCAAAUCUCUUAAAACCGUUCUCAGUUCGGACUGCAGGCUGCAACUCGCCUGCACGAAGUCGGAAUCGCUAGUAAUCGCGGAUCAGCAUGCCGCGGUGAAUACGUUCCCGGGCCUUGUACACACCGCCCGUCACACCAUGAGUAGUUUGUAACACCCAAAGUCGGUGGGGUAACCUUUUAGUAAGCCAAGCCGCCUAAAGGGGACAGAA